GUAGCGUCCCCCGAAUCCGGGCCCCAAAUCGCCUCGGAUUCGGUACACUAAUCUUUCUAUUACUGUUUGCGGAAGAUAUAAACAUAAAUUGUUUAUACAUUACAUUAUACAUUAUUCCCCAAGGUCGAGUAACCUUAACUUAAACACAAAUCAUAAGCUAUCUAUCAGAUAAGAUAUUAUUCAACUAUACUAUUACAAAAUAGCCGUACAAUUUAUCCCAAGCUGUACUUGGCAUUAACCUUUUCCUGUAUCCGAACGCAUUCGCCUUAUCUGCAAUGUUUAUCAUGAUAUAGCAAGGGUGAGCAUGAAAGUUGCCCAGCAAGUUUAAAUACAACAAUAUAAAGAUAUAUCAUGAUUGAAGAGUAUGAAUAAUACGCUGGCUAUAAUUCAUCAAUAUAAUUGAGAACAAGCACGAACAAACUUUUGACUGAACAAGGUUUUAAACAUGAACAAACAUUUCUGAACCAACUGGUAAUGAAGGUGAUCAGCCUUUCAUACCUGACUUAUACAUGCAAGAUGUACAGAGUACAAUUUUCAUGGCAAUCAGCAAUGAUUAACCAUAAGCUUGAAUAAAACACUCUUAUUAGAGUUAAGUAAGAACAAACUUGCCUGAACCGUUGAUUACCGCAACGCAAUUUAU
Molecule: long non-coding RNA, 640 nt
Filed under: Panax ginseng (ginseng)
Lineage: Eukaryota; Viridiplantae; Streptophyta; Magnoliopsida; Apiales; Araliaceae
Description: long non-coding RNA (PGIN_LNC010050)
Source: RNAcentral